UUACGAAGGAGCCGUUGGUAUAGCUUGC
This 28-nucleotide small RNA is filed under the name Bombyx mori (domestic silkworm). Its description in RNAcentral is "ovarian small RNA-36512". Lineage: Eukaryota; Metazoa; Arthropoda; Insecta; Lepidoptera; Bombycidae. The record is from RNAcentral.